AAAUCUUCAAAACUUUCAACAACGGAUCUCUUGGUUCUCGCAUCGAUGAAGAACGCAGCGAAAUGCGAUAAGUAAUAUGAAUUGCAGAUUUUCGUGAAUCAUCGAAUCUUUGAACGCACAUUGCGCCCUAUGGUAUUCCAUAGGGCAUGCCUGUUUGAGCGUCAUUUC
This 168-nucleotide ribosomal RNA is filed under the name Dujonia zeylanoides. RNAcentral describes it as "[Candida] zeylanoides 5.8S ribosomal RNA". It matches the Rfam family "5.8S ribosomal RNA". From Rfam's summary of the family: 5.8S ribosomal RNA (5.8S rRNA) is a component of the large subunit of the eukaryotic ribosome. It is transcribed by RNA polymerase I as part of the 45S precursor that also contains 18S and 28S rRNA. Functionally, it is thought that 5.8S rRNA may be involved in ribosome translocation. The record is from RNAcentral. Lineage: Eukaryota; Fungi; Ascomycota; Pichiomycetes; Serinales; Debaryomycetaceae.